GAUGAAGAACGUAGCGAAAUGCGAUAAGUAAUGUGAAUUGCAGAAUUCAGUGAAUCAUCGAAUCUUUGAACGCACAUUGCGCCCGCCAGUAUUCUGGCGGGCAUGCCUGUUCGAGCGUCAUUUCAACCCUCAGGCCCCCAGUGCCUGGUGUUGGGGAUCGGCCCAGCCUUCCUGUAAGGCCGCCGGCCCCGAAAUCUAGUGGCGGUCUCGCUGUAGUCCUCCUCUGCGUAGUAGCACAACCUCGCAGUUGGAACGCGGCGGUGGCCAUGCCGUUAAACACCCCACUUCUGAAAGUUGACCUCGGAUCAGGUAGGAAUACCCGCUGAACUUAAGCAUAUCAAUAACGAGGA
This 350-nucleotide unclassified non-coding RNA is filed under the name soil metagenome. Its description in RNAcentral is "partial contains 5.8S ribosomal RNA, internal transcribed spacer 2, and large subunit ribosomal RNA". The stretch from base 1 to 120 matches the Rfam family "5.8S ribosomal RNA", at positions 35 to 154 of the family's 154-position model. The record is from RNAcentral.